Long non-coding RNA from Vespa mandarinia (Asian giant hornet), 101 nucleotides. NCBI's taxonomy places the organism in Eukaryota, Metazoa, Arthropoda, Insecta, Hymenoptera, Vespidae. The record is from RefSeq and is a predicted model, not a curated record.
UUUUUCAAAAACAUAAUUCAAAAAUAUGUAACUGAUAUAGCAGAGAUCAAAACUGUUACCUAAAAUUUAUAUUCGUGAGGAUCAUUCGUCCUUUCCUUGAA